Molecule: ribosomal RNA, 324 nt
Filed under: bacterium xpnta502lb742offp11.19dc
Lineage: Bacteria
Description: bacterial SSU rRNA
Rfam family: Bacterial small subunit ribosomal RNA
Source: RNAcentral
CUAUACAUGCAGUCGAGCGGAUGAAGGAGGAGCUUGCUCCUCUGAUUCAGCGGCGGACGGGUGAGUAACACGUGGGCAACCUGCCCUGUAGAUUGGGAUAACUCCGGGAAACCGGGGCUAAUACCGAAUAAUCCACCAGACCACAUGGUCCGGUGUUGAAAGGCGGCUUCGGCUGUCACUACAGGAUGGGCCCGCGGCGCAUUAGCUAGUUGGUGGGGUAACGGCCCACCAAGGCGACGAUGCGUAGCCGACCUGAGAGGUGAUCGGCCACACUGGNACUGAGACACGGCCCAGACUCCUACGGAGGCAGCNGUAGGGAUCUUC